Long non-coding RNA from Ruditapes philippinarum (Manila clam), 874 nucleotides. RefSeq lists it as uncharacterized. The transcript is spliced from 2 exons. Lineage: Eukaryota; Metazoa; Mollusca; Bivalvia; Venerida; Veneridae. The record is from RefSeq and is a predicted model, not a curated record.
AGAAGGCCCUCUUGAUUGUUUAAUAAAUUGAAUCAAUUUUCUCGUUUUAUCCUAAAUUUUAACCGGGAACAGAUUUAGAAAUUCAUUUUAUUUUCUUAAACUGACUGACUUCAUCCAAAGAAACAAGCUUUUUUGUCUUGGAAUUAUAAACUUAAAACAGGGACGAUGUUUGUGACAAUUAUUGCCUUCACAAUAAUUGCCAUCAGUUCUGAUGCUCGUGUUGUCAUUGACAACGGCCAACCACUAAACAUACGUGGGGGAAAUGCUAAUGACGUCACUCUUGACAGCCAUGAUGACGACAUGAACGGAAAUACGCAUACAGGCGACGGACUUUGCCGACGGUGUAUGUGCAAGCUGAACGGCUGUCCGGAAGCGAUUUAUUCACGGUGCAUAUCAGCUGGUUCCCUUUGUUGUUGCUGCCUUCCAGGCAACCACCCGUGUCUUGAGUUACAAGAAUUUGAAGAGGUUCAUGAGACGGCGGGUACACUUGAGGCUCUUGAAGAAGGUAUUGAAGAUAUUGGGCAAUUGGAGAAAAAAUGAAGCUGGGAUAGUAUUGCCCAAUGGAACGAAGUGAAAAUUUGAAAUGAUUCUUAAACAAAGAAUAAUUCUAAAUAUUUUUUAUAUUAUAAUCUAUUUUUGUGGUAAUUUAUUGAUAAUUCUAUUUUAGAAUAGAAUUGUGUAAAAAGGUUUGAUAAUAUCUGUUAUGUGUUGAACUUCGGACAGAUUGGAAAAUUCGUUUCAAGGGUAGAUCUACCCGCCUAAUCCGCCUAUUAGGCAGUAAAGAGGUUGUUUUUUAUUAUUUGUUUGCUCUUUUGUUUAAAAGAAACAUAUUUACUGUUGUUAAGAUAACCAAUUAAAAGUAUCGACAACUUAA